Molecule: ribosomal RNA, 354 nt
Filed under: uncultured bacterium
Lineage: Bacteria
Description: bacterial SSU rRNA
Rfam family: Bacterial small subunit ribosomal RNA
Source: RNAcentral
GGUGUUGCAUGGCUGUCGUCAGCUCGUGUCGUGAGAUGUUGGGUUAAGUCCCGCAACGAGCGCAACCCUCAUCCUUAGUUACCAUCAGGUAAUGCUGGGGACUUUAAGGAAACUGCCAGUGAUAAACUGGAGGAAGGUGGGGAUGAUGUCAAGUCAUCAUGGCCCUUAUGGAGUGGGCUACACACGUGCUACAAUGGUGGCUACAAUGGGCUGCAAAGUCGCGAGGCUAAGCUAAUCCCUUAAAAGCCAUCUCAGUUCGGAUUGUACUCUGCAACUCGAGUGCAUGAAGUUGGAAUCGCUAGUAAUCGUGGAUCAGCACGCCACGGUGAAUACGUUCCCGGGUCUUGUACACAC